UAUAAAGGGUUCAAGGAGGAUACCUAGGCACUCAAAAACUAUGAAGGGCGUAAACAACGAUAAGCUUCGAGGAGUUAAUGCUGUGAUUCGAAGAUUCCCGAAUAGGACAACCAAACUAAUUCUUGCAAAAAUUCAUAAGCAAUGAAUAGAUAACCCGGUGAACUGAAACAUCUUAGUAACUGGAGGAAAAGAAAGCAAACGCGAUUCCCUUAGUAGCGGCGAGCGAAGCGGGACCAGCCUAAACCAUAGAGUUUUUAUUUUAUGGGGUUGUGGGAUCUUAAUAUAAAUGAAAGAAUAGACUUUAAAAAGUUGAAACGAUUGAAUGUCGUACCAAAGAAGGUGAAAGUCCUGUAAAUUAUUAAAUUUUUUCUUUAUUUUAUGUAUUAUUAAGAAUUCCCAAGUAAUAUGGGACACGUGAAAUCCUGUAUGAAUCUGCGAGGACCACCUCGUAAGGCUAAAUAUUCUUGAGUGACCGAUAGUGAACAAGUACCGCGAGGGAAAGGUGAAAAGUAGCCCAAGAGGGCAGUGAAAUAGACCAUGAAUCCUUGAACCUACAAACGGUGGGAGGGCAGUAUUAACGCCUGACCGCGUGCCUGUUGAAGAAUGUGCCAGCGACUUGUACACAGUGGCAAGGUUAAGAUUUUAUCGUAGCCUAAGCGAAAGCGAGUCUAAAUAAGGCGUGAUGUCACUGUUUACAGACCCGAACCCGAGUGAUCUAACUAUGAUCAGGAUGAACCUGAGGUAAAACUUAGCGGAGGUCCGAACCCACCAAUGUUGCAUAAUUGGGGGAUGAAUUGUAGUUAGGGGUGAAAUGCCAAUCGAACUCGGAGCUAGCUGGUUCUCUCCGAAAUGUGUUGAGGCACAGCGAUAGAUCUAUGUGUCAUUGAGGGGUAGAGCACUGUUUCGGUGCGGGCUGGGAAACCGGUACCAAAUCGUAGCAAACUCCGAAUACUCAUGUUAUACAGACUAUCAGUCAGACUAUGGGGGAUAAGCUUCAUUGUCAAGAGGGAAACAGCCCAGACCAUCAAUUAAGGCCCUAAAAUGAUUACUGAGUGAUCAAGGAGGUGGAAGUGCUUAGACAGCCAGGAGGUAUGCCCAGAGGCCGCCAACCUUUAAAGAGUGCGUAACAGCUCACUGGUCAAGCGCUUCUGCGCCGACAAUGUAGAGGACUAAGUAAUCUGCCGAAAUUAUGGGUACUAUAAAUACAAAAAGUGCGGUAGGAGAGCGUUCAGUAUUCGGUGAAGUAGUAACGAAAGUAAUUAUGGAGAGUACUGAAGUGAGAAUGUUGGCUUAAGUAGCGAAAACAUUGGUGAGAAUCCAAUGCCCCGAAAAUCUAAGGGUUCCUUUUCAAGGUUCGUCCGAAAAGGGUUAGUCAGAACCUAAGACGAGGCUUAACAGCGUAGUCGAUGGGCAUCAGGUAAAGAUUCCUGAACUAUAUAUUAAACGUUUAAAAGUGACGGGUAUUAACUCCAAGAAAAGCUUUUUACGAUUAUUUAGUAUAUAAUCUGUACCCAAACUGGCACAGGUGGAUGAGUAGAGAAUACUAAGGGGCGCGAGAAAACCCUCUCUAAGGAACUCGGCAAAAUGACUCUGUAACUUCGGAAGAAAGAGUACCUCCUUGUAAUAAGGAGGUCGCAGUGAAGAGACCCAGGCGACUGUUUACCAAAAACACAGGUUUCCGCGAAGUCGAAAGACGAUGUAUGGGAGCUGACGCCUGCCCAGUGCCGGAAGGUUAAAGAAAUCGGUUAGUUUUUAUAAUGAAGCUGAUGACUGAAGCCCCGGUGAACGGCGGCCGUAACUAUAACGGUCCUAAGGUAGCGAAAUUCCUUGUCGGGUAAGUUCCGACCCGCACGAAAGGCGUAACGAU
This 1867-nucleotide ribosomal RNA is filed under the name Opitutia bacterium TMED67. RNAcentral describes it as "bacterial LSU rRNA". It matches the Rfam family "Bacterial large subunit ribosomal RNA", at positions 1 to 2008 of the family's 2925-position model. Lineage: Bacteria; Pseudomonadati; Verrucomicrobiota; Opitutia. The record is from RNAcentral.